UCAGCAAGCCUGUCUAACUGCA
Molecule: unclassified non-coding RNA, 22 nt
Filed under: Mus musculus (house mouse)
Lineage: Eukaryota; Metazoa; Chordata; Mammalia; Rodentia; Muridae
Description: oocyte_clustered_small_RNA3497
Source: RNAcentral